GGAUCAGUUCGCUGGUCGUGCCUCUGGUAUGUACUGGUGUUACUGGUUCCUCCCUUCUGACGAACUGUCAUGUCAUUUAUUUGGUGUGGCAGGGAAUCAGGACUGUUACUUUGAAAAAAUUAGAGUGUUUAAAGCAGGCUCGCGCUUGAAUACAUUAGCAUGGAAUAAUGGAAUAGGGCUGCUGCCCCAUUUUGUUGGUUUCUGGGACCGUAGCA
This 215-nucleotide ribosomal RNA is filed under the name uncultured fungus. RNAcentral describes it as "partial small subunit ribosomal RNA". The stretch from base 38 to 215 matches the Rfam family "Eukaryotic small subunit ribosomal RNA", at positions 684 to 864 of the family's 1831-position model. Lineage: Eukaryota; Fungi. The record is from RNAcentral.